This 345-nucleotide ribosomal RNA is filed under the name Rhodotorula mucilaginosa. RNAcentral's name for it is "partial large subunit ribosomal RNA". It matches the Rfam family "Eukaryotic large subunit ribosomal RNA", at positions 122 to 464 of the family's 3401-position model. Lineage: Eukaryota; Fungi; Basidiomycota; Microbotryomycetes; Sporidiobolales; Sporidiobolaceae. The record is from RNAcentral.
CUGGCACCUUCGGUGUCCGAGUUGUAAUCUCUAGAAAUGUUUUCCGCGUUGGACCGCACACAAGUCUGUUGGAAUACAGCGGCAUAGUGGUGAGACCCCCGUAUAUGGUGCGGACGCCCAGCGCUUUGUGAUACAUUUUCGAAGAGUCGAGUUGUUUGGGAAUGCAGCUCAAAUUGGGUGGUAAAUUCCAUCUAAAGCUAAAUAUUGGCGAGAGACCGAUAGCGAACAAGUACCGUGAGGGAAAGAUGAAAAGCACUUUGGAAAGAGAGUUAACAGUACGUGAAAUUGUUGGAAGGGAAACGCUUGAAGUCAGACUUGCUUGCCGAGCAAUCGGUUUGCAGGCCA